GAUAAAGAUAUACCCAGUCUGUAUAUAGUGUAUACAGUGUGAGAGAAUGAUAUACAUAGUUUGUAUGCUUAGUAUAUCAUUCUCUCACACUGUAUAUGCCAUAUACAGACUGUGUAUAUC
Molecule: non-coding RNA, 120 nt
Organism: Pelobates cultripes (western spadefoot toad)
Lineage: Eukaryota; Metazoa; Chordata; Amphibia; Anura; Pelobatidae
Source: the annotation of a GenBank genome assembly